This 443-nucleotide ribosomal RNA is filed under the name uncultured bacterium. Its description in RNAcentral is "partial 16S ribosomal RNA". It matches the Rfam family "Bacterial small subunit ribosomal RNA", at positions 338 to 795 of the family's 1533-position model. The record is from RNAcentral.
CCUACGGGAGGCAGCAGUGGGGAAUAUUGGGCAAUGGGCGCAAGCCUGACCCAGCAACGCCGCGUGAAGGAAGAAGGCUUUCGGGUUGUAAACUUCUUUUGUCAGGGACGAAGCAAGUGACGGUACCUGACGCAUACGCCACGGCUAACUACGUGCCAGCCGCCGCGGUAAUACGUAGGUGGCAAGCGUUAUCCGGAUGUACUGGGUGUAAGGGGCGUGUAGGCGGGGCAGCAAGUCAGAUGUGAAAACCACGGGCUCAACCUGUGGGCUGCAUUUGAAACUGUUUUGCUUGAGUGCUGGAGAGGCGAGUGGAAUUCCGUGUGUAGCGGUGAAAUGCGUAGAUAUACGGAGGAACACCAGUGGCGAAGGCGGAUUGCUGGACAGUAACUGACGCUGAGGCGCGAAAGCGUGGGGAGCAAACAGGAUUAGAUACCCUAGUAGUC